This is a long non-coding RNA of Pecten maximus, 254 nucleotides long. RefSeq lists it as uncharacterized. Lineage: Eukaryota; Metazoa; Mollusca; Bivalvia; Pectinida; Pectinidae. The record is from RefSeq and is a predicted model, not a curated record. The transcript has 3 exons.
GAAACAGACGAUUGAGCUAAAUGGUCCCCGCUUAAUACUUUUCUGAAGCUGCGACAGCUCUUCACACACAAGUAGAGGCCGACAGUACACAUUAUCCCAAACAGAAAGGCCGUGGAUCCGACAACUAUCAGAUGGAAGAUCUUGUUUAUCACAAUUUACCCUCGCACGAAUGCGUGUUGCAAGUCCUGGUUUCCCGCCCCUCUCCAAUGCAGUCCUGUCCAAAUCCGAAUGGCUGAGGACUGUCACAUGACCUG